Long non-coding RNA from Hippopotamus amphibius kiboko, 1549 nucleotides. RefSeq lists it as uncharacterized. NCBI's taxonomy places the organism in Eukaryota, Metazoa, Chordata, Mammalia, Artiodactyla, Hippopotamidae. The transcript is spliced from 3 exons. The record is from RefSeq and is a predicted model, not a curated record.
UUGGGACAAGGGCUGGGCGUGGUUUCGCCGUUCCGCGGAACGCUGGGAAGGGGUCACUUACAGAUGAAGGUUCCGGUUCCGGUGCAGGUGGUGUUUGUGUUGCCAGGGCAGCGUGGUUGGUCCCUUCGUGGUUGCUGUGUUCCGGGUGCUCACGCGGCUGGAGCGGGUCUGGGUCCGCCGUCGCCGACUUAGGUGGGCGGCCCAGAGCCUCCGGAAGGCCGCGGCGGGAGUAGGGGUCACGCCGGGGUCUGGCGGCCGGCCAGGCGCGCCCGGGGCUGCGGCGUCGGGGCCGCCCGGUCCUCCCGUGGUCCCGCUGCCCACGUGGGAGCAGAGGCCCCCAGACCCCUUCCCGUGGUUCCCGCCUCUGCAGAGCGAUUGUUUCACUAAAACAGUUUUGCUUUUUAAAGUUUGUAAAACGCUCUCGAUUGUGUGAUGGGGGCUUCUCUGACUUUACAGGCUGUUUUAGCUCCUGGGCCUGGGCCCAGGAAAGGUUUGUUGAAUGGGGAACUAAGAAAGGAAUUGGUUCGUUCGACAAACGUUUUCUGAGCCGCUGCUGCGUGCAGGGCACGGUGCCGGCGCGGGACCUCCAGGGAGACCUGUGCCCAAAGCUUGAGACGUGAGAAGCAGUACGUAGAACAGUGCUUGGAACCCGGCAGAUGCUCACAGUGGUGGAAAGAGUGACCCCAGAAGAGCGGGGCUCAGUGAAAUCGCCACGUGAUCUGUAGUCUUGGAGCCGCACUGGGGUGGUGGUACCCCAGAGCACACCAGACUUGCAGAGAAAGCAUCCUCCAGAGGAAGCUGAGGCAUGGCUGCUCAAGGGCCAGCAAGUCAUUGGUUCCAGGUAAAUUGGAGGAACAAACAUCAUACAGAAAUAUACAGGAAGUGAUGUGAUGCCGAAGCUUAACUGUUGUUUGAGAAGUCCAGCGUCUGGUGCGCUUAACAGUAGGGACUAUAUUAUUUGCACCUAAUUUUUACUCCUACUUAUGUUAUAGUAAGUUGUUUCUUUUUUUAAAAAAUAAAUAUUGGCAUUUCGUUCCAGAAAACCUGAAUUGUUUAUUGCCUACCCUGAACUGUCUAAUUCUGCUCUUGUGUUGACUGGAACAGGGAGAAGAAUUUGCAAACCUAUGAUGUGAGGAUCCAGAGACAUAGCACUAGUCAUGGGGUCUACCUAAUAGCAUGUCACUUUCCUUGUGUGUAAUAUUGGCUUUGCCAGUACAGUUGGCAGACAUUUUAUUACAUUGAGAAUACAGCUGUCAUUAAAGGUGAAGAGUAAUCCUUGAGCAGAAAGAACACAAAUCUGUUUUCCAGAUUUAUAAUAGAGUUGCUGUAUAUAGUCGAGUAUGAUAAGGACAUCUGUGAAAUGCAAGGAAAGCAAGUCGGGGCUCUUUCAGGGAGCUAAGCGGGAUGGCUUUGAUAAUACGAUCAAGGCCAGGAAAACAGAUCAUGUAUCCAGACCAAGGAAAUUGAAACAAUACUCCUAAAUUUAAGUUUUGAAUAAAGCAACCUAAAAUGCAAAAUGUUGUUUGUGUUGAACAUAUUCCUCUUUGCC